This 366-nucleotide ribosomal RNA is filed under the name uncultured bacterium. RNAcentral describes it as "partial 16S ribosomal RNA". It matches the Rfam family "Bacterial small subunit ribosomal RNA", at positions 355 to 713 of the family's 1533-position model. The record is from RNAcentral.
UGGGGAAUAUUGCACAAUGGGCGCAAGCCUGAUGCAGCCAUGCCGCGUGUGUGAAGAAGGCCUUCGGGUUGUAAAGCACUUUCAGCGAGGAGGAAGGGUAGUGUGUUAAUAGCACAUUGCAUUGACGUUACUCGCAGAAGAAGCACCGGCUAACUCCGUGCCAGCAGCCGCGGUAAUACGGAGGGUGCAAGCGUUAAUCGGAAUUACUGGGCGUAAAUCGCACGCAGGCGGUUUGUUAAGUCAGAUGUGAAAUCCCCGCGCUUAACGUGGGAACUGCAUUUGAAACUGGCAAGCUAGAGUCUUGUAGAGGGGGGUAGAAUUCCAGGUGUAGCGGUGAAAUGCGUAGAGAUCUGGAGGAAUACCGGU